GGGCCCGCACAAGCAGCGGAGCAUGUGGUUUAAUUCGAAGCAACGCGAAGAACCUUACCAGGGCUUGACAUCUGAGUAAACUCAUGGAAACAUGAGGUGCCUUCGGGCGACUCAAGACAGGUGGUGCAUGGUUGUCGUCAGCUCGUGUCGUGAGAUGUUGGGUUAAGUCCCGCAACGAGCGCAACCCUUAUUGCUAGUUACUAACGCGUUAUGGUGAGGACUCUAGUAAGACUGCCGGGGACAACUCGGAGGAAGGUGGGGACGACGUCAAAUCAUCAUGCCCCUUAUGUUCUGGGCUACACACGUGCUACAAUGGCCGCAACAGAGAGGAGCGAAGCCGCAAGGUGGAGCGGAUCUCAAAAAAGCGGUCUCAGUUCGGAUCGUGGGCUGCAACCCGCCCACGUGAAGUCGGAGUUGCUAGUAAUCGCGGAUCAGCAUGCCG
This 442-nucleotide ribosomal RNA is filed under the name uncultured Bacillota bacterium. Its description in RNAcentral is "bacterial SSU rRNA". It matches the Rfam family "Bacterial small subunit ribosomal RNA", at positions 917 to 1359 of the family's 1533-position model. Lineage: Bacteria; Bacillati; Bacillota. The record is from RNAcentral.